RNAcentral lists this ribosomal RNA (498 nucleotides) under uncultured bacterium. Its description in RNAcentral is "partial 16S ribosomal RNA". It matches the Rfam family "Bacterial small subunit ribosomal RNA", at positions 29 to 523 of the family's 1533-position model. The record is from RNAcentral.
AUUGAACGCUGGCGGCAUGCCUUACACAUGCAAGUCGAACGGUAACGCGGGGCAACCUGGCGACGAGUGGCGAACGGGUGAGUAAUGCAUCGGAACGUGCCCAGUAGUGGGGGAUAGCCCGGCGAAAGCCGGAUUAAUACCGCAUACGACCUACGUGUGAAAGGGGGGGAUAGCAGGACCUCUCGCUAUUGGAGCGGCCGAUGUCAGAUUAGGUAGUUGGUGGGGUAAAGGCCUAACAAGCCAACGAUCUGUAGCUGGUCUGAGAGGACGACCAGCCACACUGGGACUGAGACACGGACCAGACUCCUACGGGAGGCAGCAGUGGGGAAUUUUGGACAAUGGGCGCAAGCCUGAUCCAGCCAUGCCGCGUGCGGGAAGAAGGCCUUCGGGUUGUAAACCGCUUUUGUCAGGGAAGAAACGCUCAGAGAUAAUACCUCGGGGUAAUGACGGUACCUGAAGAAUAAGCACCGGCUAACUACGUGCCAGCCGCCGCAGUAA